This 788-nucleotide long non-coding RNA is filed under the name Cervus hanglu yarkandensis (Yarkand deer). Its description in RNAcentral is "lncRNA (ENSCHYG00000019411.1)". The record is from RNAcentral. Lineage: Eukaryota; Metazoa; Chordata; Mammalia; Artiodactyla; Cervidae.
UAACUUUUUUUUUGGCUGUGCCAGGUCUUAGUUGCAGUACGUGAGAUAUAUUUCCCCAACCAAGGAUCGAACCUGGGCCACCUGCAUUGGGAGCGUGGAGUCUUAGCCAUUGGACCACCAGGGAAGUCCCCAGAUACAACUUUUAAAGAGAUGGAGCAAAUAUAUGAAAUCUCUUGGUGGAGCCCCAGUGCUCUCCAGUGGGAAAAAAUCUUUUCGUGUGCUGAUGCAUCCCACAGAGCCCUCCUGAAGCACUCAUGGCAGUGGAACAAAAUUGCAUACGUCUGUUUCACAUCAGAUCGGAGGGGACCAAGGGGCCAGGUAGCUACAGCAUCUCUGCCUGCCUGGAUACCUUCCUCUCAUCAGCAGCACAGCCACCAACUCGGGCAAGGAAAUAAAACCUUGGACAAAAAGGGGUAAGUCCAGGAAAUGCCAAAUUAGUUGGACUUUUGCAGAUCUUUGUGGGAUCCUUAGACAUUUAUAUUCUCAGAGGAGAGACCUUCCUUUUUUAUUCUGGUAUAAUAGGCAAAACCUCACACUUACCUUUGUAACCAUCUUUGAAUGUGUAAUUCAGUGGGGAGACGCAUUUGAUGACUUCAGUUCUAUGCUGAUGUAUAAUAGAUUGUGUACUCUGCUGUCAAAGGUCCUUAUUGAUCUGCGGAAUCAGACAGUAGGGUCCCAUUGGUUAAGGUGGGUUUGUCUCCUGCAAUAGGGAAACAACCUCAAUAUACCACAUACACAAUGGAAAAUUAUCCAGAGGUCGUUUGUCAUUGAUACAGGUAAGAUCUCAC